Molecule: ribosomal RNA, 466 nt
Filed under: uncultured bacterium
Lineage: Bacteria
Description: partial 16S ribosomal RNA
Rfam family: Bacterial small subunit ribosomal RNA
Source: RNAcentral
GACGAACGCUGGCGGCGCGCCUAACACAUGCAAGUCGAACGAGCGAGAGAGAGCUUGCUUUCUCAAGCGAGUGGCGCACGGGUGAGUAACGCGUGAGGAACCUGCCUCAAAGAGGGGGACAACAGUUGGAAACGACUGCUAAUACCGCAUAAGACCACGACCCGGCAUCGGGUAGAGGGAAAAGGAGCAAUCCGCUUUGAGAUGGACUCGCGUCCGAUUAGCUAGAUGGUGAGGUAACGGCCCACCAAUGCGACGAUCGGUAGACGGACUGAGAGGUUGAGCCGCCACACUUGGACUAGGCCGCAGCCCAGACUCCUACGGGAGGCAGCAGUGGGUAAUAUUGCACCAUCGCGGGAACGCUGAUGCAGCGACGCCGCGUGGAGGCAGAAGGUCUUCGGAUUGUAAACUCCUGUUGUUGAGGAAGAUAAUGACGGUACUCAACAAGGAAGUGACGGCUAACUACGUG